RNAcentral lists this transfer RNA (74 nucleotides) under Actinomycetota bacterium. RNAcentral describes it as "Actinobacteria bacterium tRNA-OTHER". It matches the Rfam family "tRNA". From Rfam's summary of the family: Transfer RNA (tRNA) molecules are approximately 80 nucleotides in length. Their secondary structure includes four short double-helical elements and three loops (D, anti-codon, and T loops). The record is from RNAcentral. Lineage: Bacteria; Bacillati; Actinomycetota.
ACCUCUGUAGCUCAGGGGAUAGAGCGUGGUAGUGACUCAACGCAAGGUCGCGGGUUCGAAUCCCGUCAGAGGUG